AUCCAGCUGAUGAGUCUCAAAUAAGGCGAAAUGCUCUUUCUGCAU
Molecule: non-coding RNA, 45 nt
Filed under: Schistosoma mattheei
Lineage: Eukaryota; Metazoa; Platyhelminthes; Trematoda; Strigeidida; Schistosomatidae
Source: RNAcentral